This 32-nucleotide non-coding RNA is filed under the name Rattus norvegicus (Norway rat). The record is from RNAcentral. Lineage: Eukaryota; Metazoa; Chordata; Mammalia; Rodentia; Muridae.
UCAAAUCUGGCCUUACAAGUAAGAACCCACCU